GUGGGGAAUAUUGGGCAAUGGGCGGAAGCCUGACCCAGCGACGCCGCGUGGGGGAAGAAGUCUUUCGGGAUGUAAACCCUUGUUGUACGGGACGAAGGAAGUGACGGUACCGUACGAGGAAGCCCCGGCAAACUACGUGCCAGCAGCCGCGGUAAUACGUAGGGGGCGAGCGUUGUCCGGAAUCACUGGGCGUAAAGCGCACGUAGGCGGGCUGUCAAGUCGGCCGUGAAAGGCACGGGCUCAACCUGUGCAUGUCGGUCGAUACUGGCGGUCUGGAGUAUGGGAGAGGGAACUGGAAUUCCCGGUGUAGCGGUGAAAUGCGUAGAUAUCGGGAGGAACAGCAGUGGCGAAGGCGGGUUCCUGGCCCAUGACUGACGCUGAGGUGCGAAAGCCGGGGGAGCGAACGGGAUUAGAAACCCGUGUAGUCC
Molecule: ribosomal RNA, 428 nt
Filed under: uncultured bacterium
Lineage: Bacteria
Description: partial 16S ribosomal RNA
Rfam family: Bacterial small subunit ribosomal RNA
Source: RNAcentral